GACGAACGCUGGCGGCGUGCUUAACACAUGCAAGUCGAGCGGGAAGCUUCGGCUUCUAGCGGCGAACGGGUGAGUAACACGUGGGCAACCUGCCCCGAGCUCUGGAAUAACCUCGGGAAACCGGGGCUAAUGCCGGAUAUGACACUGCCGGGCAUCUGGUGGUGUGGAAAGAUUUAUCGGCUCGGGAUGGGCCCGCGGCCUAUCAGCUUGUUGGUGGGGUGAUGGCCUACCAAGGCGACGACGGGUAGCCGGCCUGAGAGGGCGACCGGCCACACUGGGACUGAGACACGGCCCAGACUCCUACGGGAGGCAGCAGUGGGGAAUAUUGCGCAAUGGGCGAAAGCCUGACGCAGCGACGCCGCGUGAGGGAUGACGGCC
RNAcentral lists this ribosomal RNA (378 nucleotides) under Frankia sp. RNAcentral describes it as "bacterial SSU rRNA". It matches the Rfam family "Bacterial small subunit ribosomal RNA", at positions 28 to 416 of the family's 1533-position model. The record is from RNAcentral. Lineage: Bacteria; Bacillati; Actinomycetota; Actinomycetes; Frankiales; Frankiaceae.